ACGCUGGCGGCGCGUUUUAAGCAUGCAAGUCGAGCGGCAAGGGCCUUCGGGCCCCUAGAGCGGCGGACGGGUGAGUAACACGUGGACAAUCUGCCCCCCGGUCCGGGAUAGCCUUGGGAAACCUGGGAUAUACCGGAUGCGAGCGGGGCCCCACAAGGGGCCCCGGGGAAAGGCGCUUCGGCGCCGCCGGGGGAUGAGUCCGCGGCCCAUUAGCUAGACGGCGGGGUAAAGGCCCACCGUGGCGAUGAUGGGUAGCCGGCCUGAGAGGGUGAUCGGCCACAUUGGAACUGAGACACGGUCCAGACUCCUACGGGAGGCAGCAGCUAAGGAUCUUCCGCAAUGGGCGAAAGCCUGACGGAGCGACGCCGCGUGAACGAUGAAGGCCGUGAGGUUGUAAAGUUCUUUUCGGGAGGGGGAAUAACCGUGGCAGGUAAUGGCCGCGGGAUGACGUGAAUCCCGGAAUAAGCCCCGGCUAACUACGUGCCAGCAGCCGCGGUAACACGUAGGGGGCGAGCGUUGUUCGGAAUCAUUGGGCGUAAAGGGCGUGCAGGCGGCCCUGCCAGUCUGGCGUGAAAGGCCCCGGCUCAACCGGGGAAACGCGCUGGAAACUGCAGGGCUUGAAUACAGGAGGGGAUGCCGGAAUUCCAGGUGUAGGGGUGAAAUCUGUAGAUAUCUGGAAGAACACCAAUGGCGAAGGCAGGCAUCUGGCCAUGUAUUGACGCUGAGACGCGAAGGUGCGGGGAGCAAACAGGUUUAGAUACCCUGGUAGUCCGCACAGUAAACGAUGUACACCAGGUGGCGGGGGGUUGACCCUCGGUACCGAAGCUAACGCAUUAAGUGUACCGCCUGGGGAGUAUGCUCGCAAGGGUGAAACUCAAAGGAAUUGACGGGGGCCCGCACUAGCGGUGGAGCAUGUGGUUUAAUUCGAUGGUACGCGAGAAACCUUACCAGGGCUUGACAUAUACCGGAAUAUGCCUGAAAGGGCAUAGCUGCUUGCAGCCGGUAUACAGGUGCUGCAUGGCUGUCG
Molecule: ribosomal RNA, 1027 nt
Filed under: Sphaerochaeta sp. 'Grapes TMA3'
Lineage: Bacteria; Pseudomonadati; Spirochaetota; Spirochaetia; Spirochaetales; Sphaerochaetaceae
Description: bacterial SSU rRNA
Rfam family: Bacterial small subunit ribosomal RNA
Source: RNAcentral